GGAUGUAGCUCAGUAGUAGAGCAUUUGCCUAGCAUGCUUGAGGCCCUGGGUUCAAUCCCAGCAACGCG
This 68-nucleotide transfer RNA is filed under the name Marmota monax (woodchuck). RNAcentral describes it as "tRNA.Ala". The stretch from base 4 to 63 matches the Rfam family "tRNA", at positions 6 to 65 of the family's 71-position model. Rfam says of the family: Transfer RNA (tRNA) molecules are approximately 80 nucleotides in length. Their secondary structure includes four short double-helical elements and three loops (D, anti-codon, and T loops). The record is from RNAcentral. Lineage: Eukaryota; Metazoa; Chordata; Mammalia; Rodentia; Sciuridae.